RNAcentral lists this ribosomal RNA (361 nucleotides) under uncultured bacterium. RNAcentral's name for it is "bacterial SSU rRNA". It matches the Rfam family "Bacterial small subunit ribosomal RNA", at positions 66 to 422 of the family's 1533-position model. The record is from RNAcentral.
ACGGUCCUCCUUUAGGGGAGGAUAGUGGCGGACGGGUGAGUAACACGUAGAUGACCUGCCCUUGUGUGGGGAAUAACUACUCGAAAGAGUGGCUAAUACCGCAUACGUUCUCUUUCGUCGGAGAGAGAAGAAACCUGGGAUCGUAAGACCUGGGGCACGAGGAGGGGUCUGCGGCGGAUUAGCUAGUUGGUGAGGUAACGGCUCACCAAGGCGACGAUCCGUAGCUGGUCUGAGAGGACGAACAGCCACACUGGGACUGAGACACGGCCCAGACUCCUACGGGAGGCAGCAGUGGGGAAUAUUGCGCUAAUGCGGGAAACCGUGACGCAGCGACGCCGCGUGAGGGAAGAAGGCCUUCGGG